GGCGCGCCGGGAGUGGGCGCGGUUCCGUCAACGCCGCGUGCGCUCCGCGGGUCCGAACUCAGUAGUGGGUCCGCCGCGGGCCUGACCACGCCCUCGGAAGCCCCGCCCGGGACGCGCUGUGGGGGGUUUCCACCGUGAUGGCGGAGAAGGCUGAAGUGCCUCAGGACCACUGCCGAGUCCCCCGCCUUCCGCCGUCCUCUAGCUGCUCGGAGGGACGACCGAGGUGGCGGGAAUGAACUCAAACUUGCUUGCCUUCAAGUUUAGUAAUCUUUUCCUCCUAAGGCCUAAGCUGAUGUUCCAUCCCAUCCAAUGUAUUUUUCAUCUCAGACGUUACAGUUUUUGUUCUCAGAGCUCCUCUCUGGUACUGUGUUCUAUGAACUCUAGUUGACUUGGUCUUCGCAGACUCUCAGAUUUUACUCUUCAACUCAGGAAGUCCACCAGGAUCCGGCUCCAUUGUUUUCUCCUGCAGCACUCUCUAAAAACUUCU
Cynocephalus volans (Philippine flying lemur) is the source of this 487-nucleotide long non-coding RNA. RefSeq lists it as uncharacterized. The record is from RefSeq and is a predicted model, not a curated record. The transcript has 3 exons. NCBI's taxonomy places the organism in Eukaryota, Metazoa, Chordata, Mammalia, Dermoptera, Cynocephalidae.